Molecule: ribosomal RNA, 465 nt
Filed under: uncultured bacterium
Lineage: Bacteria
Description: partial 16S ribosomal RNA
Rfam family: Bacterial small subunit ribosomal RNA
Source: RNAcentral
GACGAACGCUGGCGGCGUGCUUAACACAUGCAAGUCGAACGGAAAGGCCCUGCUUGCAGGGUACUCGAGUGGCGAACGGGUGAGUAACACGUGGGUGAUCUGCCCUGCACUUCGGGAUAAGCCUGGGAAACUGGGUCUAAUACCGGAUAGGAGCCAUUUUUAGUGUGAUGGUUGGAAAGUUUUUUCGGUGUAGGAUGAGCUCGCGGCCUAUCAGCUUGUUGGUGGGGUAAUGGCCUACCAAGGCGGCGACGGGUAGCCGGCCUGAGAGGGUGGACGGCCACAUUGGGACUGAGAUACGGCCCAGACUCCUACGGGAGGCAGCAGUGGGGAAUAUUGCACAAUGGGCGCAAGCCUGAUGAAGCGACGCCGCGUGGGGGAUGACGGCCUUAGGGUUGUAAACUCCUUUCGCUAGGGACGAAGCUUUUUGUGACGGUACCUAGAUAAGAAGCACCGGCUAACUACGUG